This 266-nucleotide ribosomal RNA is filed under the name uncultured bacterium. RNAcentral describes it as "partial 16S ribosomal RNA". It matches the Rfam family "Bacterial small subunit ribosomal RNA", at positions 57 to 305 of the family's 1533-position model. The record is from RNAcentral.
GCAAGUCGAACGAGAAAGGGAUUGCUUGCAAUCCUGAGUAGAGUGGCGCACGGGUGAGUAACACGUAGAUAAUCUACCUUCAAGCCUGGGAUAACUAUUCGAAAGGAUAGCUAAUACCGGAUGAAGUUGCCAAGCAUAAGUUUGGUUAUGAAAGAUUGCCUCUUCUUGAAAGCAAUUGUUUGGAGAUGAGUCUGCGGACCAUUAGUUUGUUGGUGGGGUAACGGCCUACCAAGACUGCGAUGGUUAGCUGGUCUGAGAGGAUGAUC